GUGAAACCGCGGAUGGAUCAAAAAAUCACACCUAAUAUACUGGAUAGUAAUCAGUUACUUGGAUAACUGCGGUAAUUCUGGAGCUAAUACAUGCAUGAAAACCCUGAAUGCUGCAAGGCGUGAAGGGUGCUUUUAUUAGAUCAAAACCAAACGACAGGCAACUGUCGUGCGUUGGUGAUUCUGAAUAACUUUGGGCUGAUCGCAUGGCUCAAUGCCGGCGACGUAUCCAUCUAAGGUGUGCCCUAUCAACUGUCGACUGUGGCAUAGACGCCCACAGUGGUUUUGACGGGUAACGGGGAAUCAGGGUUCGAUUCCGGAGAGGGAGCCUGAGAAAUGGCUACCACUUCUAAGGAAGGCAGCAGGCGCGCAAAUCACCCAAUCGCCGAGUGUUUACCUUUUCCCGAAAAAUAAGGGAUCCCAGUCUCUUUGAGGCCGGGUAAUCGGAAUGGGCACACUUUAAUUCCUUUAACGAGGAACAAUUCGAGGGCAAGUCUGGCGCCAGCAGCCGCGGUAUUUCCAGCUCCAAUAGCGUAUAUUAAUGUUGUUGUGGUUAAAAAGCUCAUAGUUGAAUUUUGGCGUGUGAAGGAUAGUUCAUUUUGUGACAUAUGGCUGUAUUUUCCCCUAAAUAUUUUGAUGGAUGUUUGGAGGUGCUCUUUACCCAGAGUCCUCGGAUGCCAACCGGUUUACUUUGAAAAAAUUAGAGUGCCCAAAGCAGGCUUGAUACGCUUGAAUAUUUGUGCAUGGAAAAAUAGAAUAGGACGUCGUUUCUAUUUUGUUGGUUUUCGGAAAUCGACGUAAUGAUUAACAGGGACAGUCGGGGGCAUUAGUAUUCCGACGUCAGAGGUGGAAUUCUUGGACCGUCUGAAGGCUAACAACUGCGAAAGCAUUUGCCAAGAAUGUUUUCAUUAAUCAAGAACGAAAAUUUGAGGUUCGAAGGCAAUCCGAUACCGCUGUAGUUCUAAUUAUAAACGAUGCCAGCUAGCGAUCUGCAGGUGUUUAUUUUAAAAGACUCUGCGGGAAGCUUCCCGGAAACCAAAGCUUUUGGGUUCCAGGGGGAGUAUGGUUGCAAACCUGAACAUAAAGGAAUUGGCGGAAGGCACCACCAGGACUGGAGCCUGCGGCUUAAUUUGACUCAACACGGGAAAUCUCACCAGGUCCGGACACCAGAAGGAUUGACAGAUUCAUAGCUCUUUCUUGAUUUGGUGGAUAGUGGUGCAUGGCCGUUCUUAGUUGGUGGAGUGAUUUGUCUGGUUAAUUCCGAUAACGAACGAGACUCUGGCCUACUAAUAGUUGAAACAUCUCACACUAUGUUUCAAAUUCUUCUUAGAGGAACUGGCAGCGUUUAGCUGCACGAGAUAGAGCAAUAACAGGUCUGUGAUGCCCUUAGAUGUUCUGGGCCGCACGCGCGCUACACUGAAGGGAUCAGCGUGUUUUCCUUUUCCGAGAGGAACGGGUAAUCCGCUUAACCCCCUUCGUGGUAGGGAUCGGGGCUUGCAAUUAUUCCCCGUGAACCAGGAAUUCCCAGUAAGUGCACGUCAUCAGCGUGCAUUGAUUACGUCCCUGCCCUUUGUACACACCGCCCGUCGCUACUACCGAUUGGAUGUUUU
Molecule: ribosomal RNA, 1607 nt
Filed under: Monstrillopsis sp. 2 SYB-2016
Lineage: Eukaryota; Metazoa; Arthropoda; Copepoda; Monstrilloida; Monstrillidae
Description: SSU rRNA
Rfam family: Eukaryotic small subunit ribosomal RNA
Source: RNAcentral